GACUCUUUAGCACAGUAGGCAGCACGUCAGUCUUAUAAACUGAAGGUCCAGAGUUUGAUCCUCAGAAGGACCG
This 73-nucleotide transfer RNA is filed under the name Monodelphis domestica (gray short-tailed opossum). It matches the Rfam family "tRNA". Rfam says of the family: Transfer RNA (tRNA) molecules are approximately 80 nucleotides in length. Their secondary structure includes four short double-helical elements and three loops (D, anti-codon, and T loops). Lineage: Eukaryota; Metazoa; Chordata; Mammalia; Didelphimorphia; Didelphidae. The record is from Rfam by way of RNAcentral.